This 237-nucleotide ribosomal RNA is filed under the name uncultured bacterium. RNAcentral's name for it is "partial 16S ribosomal RNA". It matches the Rfam family "Bacterial small subunit ribosomal RNA", at positions 121 to 353 of the family's 1533-position model. The record is from RNAcentral.
GUAACCUGCCUUAUAGGUGGGGGAUAGCCUUUCGAAAGGAAGAUUAAUACCGCAUAAGAUUGUAGUAUCGCAUGAUAUAGCAAUUAAAGGAGCAAUCCGCUAUAAGAUGGACCCGCGUCGCAUUAGCUAGUUGGUGAGGUAAUGGCUCACCAAGGCGACGAUGCGUAGCCGACCUGAGAGGGUGAUCGGCCACAUUGGGACUGAGACACGGCCCAGACUCCUACGGGAGGCAGCAUG